The sequence is a transfer RNA, 76 nucleotides long. It matches the Rfam family "tRNA". From Rfam's summary of the family: Transfer RNA (tRNA) molecules are approximately 80 nucleotides in length. Their secondary structure includes four short double-helical elements and three loops (D, anti-codon, and T loops).
GCGGGAAUAGCUCAGUUGGUAGAGCGCAACCUUGCCAAGGUUGAUGUCGCGAGUUCGAGUCUCGUUUCCCGCUCAA